RNAcentral lists this unclassified non-coding RNA (3346 nucleotides) under Hevea brasiliensis (rubber tree). Lineage: Eukaryota; Viridiplantae; Streptophyta; Magnoliopsida; Malpighiales; Euphorbiaceae. The record is from RNAcentral.
GGGAGCCAGCGAGCGAGUGGGCGAUCCAUCCAGCCACUACUAUAACACUAGUCCCUCUCUCAGGACUCGGGAGCGUCUACACUCUUCUUCCUCAGUUCCUUCAUUUCCCCAUUUCGAUUUCUCUGGUUUCUUAGUUGCAGAGCCAAGUAGAGAAAAUCAGUGAAGGUAAGAGCUCAAUCGAAGAGAAAUGGCGUUAGCCUUCGACGAGUUUGGAAGGCCUUUCAUUAUCUUAAAAGAGCAGGAGCAGAAGACUCGAUUGCGAGGUUUAGAUGCUCAGAAAGCUAACAUUUCCGCCGGAAGAGCCGUUGCUCGCAUCCUCCGAACCUCUCUCGGCCCCAAGGGCAUGGACAAGAUGCUUCAGAGUCCCGACGGCGACAUCACCAUCAGUUUUUUCCCUUCUCUCUGCAUCUUUUAUGCUUACUCGCUAUUAUCUCUUUUUGGAUUCUGUAAAGUCCAUUAUACGCUGUUUUAAUGGUUUGGUUUCGUCUUGAUCUGGUGGUAGUUGCUUUCUAUCUUUUAUUGGAUGCUCCAGUACAGUUUGUGGUUUACCAUGAUAAUCAUAGAGAUUACUAAGCUUUUGUGUUAUCCAUCAGUUAUACGCCCGAGAUUAACCUACAUAUGAGCUUUGCGGCUGCUAGACUAGGAUUACUCUGUGAGCUCUGGCUUGGAAGCUAGAAAUUUACUUGAGGAAAUGAGAUUUGCCAUUCUUGUGAAGUUCUUGUUAGUUGUUAUCCUUGGAAGGGUCAUCUUAUGCCCAUGCUUCUAUUAUCAGAUCUUGCCAUUUAUUGCAUUUUGUGUAUUAAGUAAAUUUUGAGUGGGUGAGAUUGAUUAUCUGUUAGGAGUUGCCUUGAUGUGUUCUAUUUAUUUGUUUUGUCAGCAAAUGAUGGUGCUACAAUCUUGGAGCAGAUGGAUGUGGACAAUCAGAUUGCCAAGCUGAUGGUUGAGCUUUCUCGUAGUCAGGAUUAUGAGAUUGGCGAUGGCACAACUGGUGUUGUUGUUAUGGCUGGAGCACUUUUGGAGCAGGCUGAGAAGCUCUUAGAACGUGGAAUUCAUCCCAUUCGAAUAGCAGAGGGUUAUGAGAUGGCUUCUAGAAUAGCUGUUGAAAAUUUGGAGCUUAUAGCACACAAGUUUGAUUUUGGAGUGACAAAUCUAGAGCCAUUAAUUCAAACUUGCAUGACUACUCUGUCCUCAAAGAUUGUGAAUCGAUGCAAGCGCAGUUUGGCUGAGAUUGCCGUUAAAGCCGUUCUCGCUGUUGCAGAUUUAGAGCGGAAGGAUGUUAACUUGGAUUUGAUAAAAGUUGAGGGAAAAGUGGGAGGCAAAUUGGAAGACACCGAACUAAUAUAUGGAAUAGUGGUUGACAAGGAUAUGAGCCAUCCACAGAUGCCGAAACAAAUUAAAGAUGCAAAAAUUGCUAUCUUGACUUGCCCCUUUGAGCCGCCUAAGCCAAAGACGAAGCAUAAGGUGGAUAUUGAUACGGUGGAAAAGUUUCAGACUCUACGUAAGCAAGAACAGCAGUAUUUCGAUGACAUGGUUCAGAAGUGCAAGGUUGUUUGUCCACCAUCAAUUCACCAUAGAAAUUGUUAAUAUUUAAUAUUGAUGGGGACUUGUUAAAUUUUUUUGGAAUUACUGGACAGUGGUUUGCAAUAUGUUUAUCUUGCUUACAUCUUUUUCAUUCUUUAAAAUCUAUUUGAGCACAGGAUGUUGGUGCUACCUUAGUUAUCUGUCAAUGGGGGUUCGAUGAUGAGGCAAAUCAUUUAUUAAUGCACAGGAACUUGCCUGCAGUUAGAUGGGUUGGUGGUGUGGAGUUAGAGCUGAUAGCAAUAGCCACAGGUGGAAGAAUAGUGCCACGAUUCCAGGAGUUAACGCCUGAAAAGCUGGGCAAGGCUGGUUUGGUUCGAGAAAAAUCUUUCGGCACAACGAAAGAUCGAAUGCUUUACAUUGAACACUGUGCAAAUUCAAGGGCUGUUAGCAUAUUUAUUCGCGGAGGUAACAAAAUGAUGAUAGAAGAGACAAAGCGUAGUCUACAUGAUGCCCUGUGUGUGGCCAGGAAUCUCAUUCGUAACAAUUCUAUUGUGUAUGGUGGUGGCUCAGCUGAGAUUUCUUGCUCAGUUGCUGUAGAGGCUGCUGCGGAUAGAUAUCCUGGAGUCGAGCAGUAUGCCAUCAGGGCAUUUGCUGAUGCUUUGGAUGCCAUCCCAAUGGCACUUGCGGAAAAUAGUGGCCUUCAACCCAUUGAGACACUAUCUGCUGUGAAAUCUCAGCAAAUUAAGGAGAACAAUCCUCAUUUUGGAAUAGAUUGCAAUGAUGUUGGCACAAAUGACAUGUGUGAACAAAAUGUCUUUGAGACCCUGAUAGGGAAGCAACAGCAGAUCUUACUUGCAACACAAGUUGUCAAAAUGAUAUUAAAAAUUGAUGAUGUCAUCUCACCUUCUGAUUACUGAGUUGUGGUCUUUGUUCUAUUUCACUGCUUAACCAACAAUGAAACUCAUGCAUUGUUGGCUUUGAUUUGGCAUGUUGAGUUUCUUGGAGAACCUCAUUUUAUGGGAGCUUGUUUAGCUUAUAAAUUUUGGAUUGGCGUUCAUUGAAAUAUGUGGUAUGAAAAUUCUUAUGUAGUUGAACUGUUUGCUGAUUUGCUGUGUUGCUAUCAUGCAUUUGUGGAAUGCAGCCAUUUCUUUUUUUUUUCUUUCUGCCUUAGCUAGUCCUGACGGACUUGAAACCACAAUUACUUCAAUGCCUUGUGCAAAUACAUAGGAGCCCACAUGUGCAGGGUGAGGAUGGUACAAAGUCGACUACAGUCUUGUAUUUAUGGAUUUUGGUAUGGUUGGAGGUGCCUGUCGAGAAAGGCUGGUGGUCUAUUAUUCAUGCCCAGGGUGGUUCAUAUCCUUCAAUUAUGCUAGCAUUAAUUGUGGUUCUAUGCAAGCAUUAAUUGUGGUUCUUAUUAAUUGUGCUUUGUAUGAGUUCAUUCUCCCCUUUGUUUAAUUGGGCGUGAUGGAGGAUAAGCAAUGCCCUUUUUAUUUAAUUGAUUUGAUCAUAAUCAAGUGAGACGAUAGAACGCAUCUGCGGAUAAAAGCCGUUGUGUCCCGCAUGCAGGUUCUUUAUAAUGUUAGUUGUUUUUUUUAACCUACAAUGAUGUCGUAACAGCACUAGCGUCCUUCUCUGCCCUUUUUUCUUCUUUUUUUCUCUCUAGUAGAGGCUAUUGAGUAAGAAAGGGGCUAUGAAAGAGUAAUAAAAAAAAAAUUAUACUUGAAAAAGCAUAUUUCCAACUAAAUCAUUUGAAAUUAGUAAUACAUAUUAAUGUACCAAUAUACAUAUCAUUAUGUUUAAUGUAUAGCACUUUAGCAUUUUUUUU